This is an RNA transcript of Acipenser ruthenus (sterlet), 4945 nucleotides long. It is a transcript of the gene named chemokine-like protein TAFA-2, with no coding region annotated. The transcript has 7 exons. NCBI's taxonomy places the organism in Eukaryota, Metazoa, Chordata, Actinopteri, Acipenseriformes, Acipenseridae. The record is from RefSeq and is a predicted model, not a curated record.
UCCCCUGAGGACUUCGAGAUGUUGAAUGUGAAUUGUGAACAAACCCGGCUUGAUAAGCAUCUCCGUGGUUCUUCAAAUCCCAGCAUCUGUUUCUAACCACAGAACAGAGGCCGCCAGAAAACACCGUCUUCAUCAGUACACUAGUGCUCAACGGUUGUUUUGAGGGACCAUCCCAGGACAGAGGGGGGGCAGUUUAAGCUAGCACUGCAUAGUUUUUGGUGAGCUUAUUUUUUUUUUUAAACCGUAUUUCUAAAAUGAAGUCUUGAUAAAAAAUAAAAGCAAUUGCAAUAGUGGCAAAACAACGUGUGGAACUUUGUAAGGGAACACCCGGCGUACUUAAGGCUGACUUGGGCUUUGCAUUUCAGGAUAACCACAAUGCAACUUCUUCAGCUGCAACGAGAGUGAUGCGGAGCGUUUCUGAGCAGGCAUUGUUUCAGAUUUAUGCUUUUUUUCUGAUGGUGGAAAACAAAAGGAAAAAAUUGUGGGUGGAUUAAAAGAAACGUACACACGGCAACAACAACAGAACAUGCCAUCAGGAAAAUAAAAAGGAGGCAAGGAUUAAGCGCCACGACAGAACACGACUUGAAAAUUGAUGCAGGACAACAGACUGGAGUUUUUUAACAACAGACUGAAUGAGCGAGAGGGAUCUACAGAGCAUGUGUAAAUGGGUCAUUCUACUCACCUUCUGCCUGAUAACGUUAGGGGGGAGGCUAACACUGGCAUCAUCCCACAGAAGCCACACAGCUCACGUCAAAGCCGGAACCUGUGAGGUCAUCGCUGCCCACCGAUGCUGCAACAGAAACAAGAUCGAGGAGAGAUCUCAGACCGUGAAGUGUUCCUGCUUCCCAGGCCAGGUGGCUGGGACAACAAGGGCUGCUCCUUCCUGCGUCGACGCCUCAAUAGUCAUCCAGAAGUGGUGGUGCCAAAUGCAGCCAUGCCUGGAAGCAGAGGAGUGUAAAGUUUUGCCGGAUCAAACUGGGUGGAGCUGCAGUACAGGAAACAAAGUCAAAACAACCAAGCUGAUUAUGCCCCGUGGAGGAUGAAUAAUAUCCCCAGCCACGGGGAUAUAGUGGAGGAGCCCAUACUUCAAACAACGAAGGUCACGCGAUAGCCCUACAUCUGAUCCGACUCACAAAAUGAAGGACAGCGUUUUUAUACACUGACCAGCUGAAACAGACACAUAGGCCUACCUGUUUGGCGGACACCAGCAAUUGGAAACUUGCGCAGUGCAUUAUGCAAAAAAAAAAAAAAAAAAAAAAUCAUGACCAGAUUACCACUGAGGAAUUCGCUGGGACAAGAAGAACUCUCGCAAGGGAACACUGGGUACGUGUGAAACGAGGAAUUGAACGCUUCAGGACCUGUCUUAAAUACUUGCUAGACAUGUUGCGCAGCCACCAAUGGGCUUUUGAGCACUUUGGGGGGUUGUUGGUUUAAUCUGGAGGAUUGUUCCUGAAGACGCACUGCAGCUGAUUGCUUUGAACAUUACAGAGCUGUAUUAAACAGCACGGACUGUUCCUAUAGGUGUCUGCUAUGUGAUAAUACAUCAUUUGCCCAAGCGCUUAUUUAUAGAGUACAGUCGCUCCUUAUAUUUGACAGGGUCGGAACGUUUUUCAAUUAGCGGUUGUAGGCUGUCACACACUUUCUUUUGUUUGUUUGUUUGUUGGCUUUGUAAAAUAUAACCAUGACAGUAUUGUCUCGCAUGAUAGGGGGGGAAGGGAGUGGGGGGGCUGAAUUGAAGUCCUUUUUCUGAUGCCCAGUUUAAUUACAUGCCCCGCCCCCCACCCCCCGUAUCUCUUUAAGGGCGGUUGUCCACAGGCAGAGAGAGGAACAAAGCAGAAGCAGUGAAUCGUUUCUAAUCAACAAGUAAAGUGAUUGGCUUCAUUUAAAUACAUUUAAUUGCAUCGUAAAAGCAUGGCUUCAAAGCGUACUGCUUGACGUUUUACAUGGUGAACAAUUUCUAUCAAAAUAGUGCGACUCCAUCAUUAUGGAGAACUUGCAGUCGCCCACACUGUUUUUCGUUUAAUGCUGUAUUUCAGUUUCUAUUUAUUUAAUAUACUGCUUCACACAGUCCCGCCCCGUCAGACACAUCCAGCAAAUCAGCGAGCUGUAUCAAUCUGAUUGACAGAAACAAUCCUCGCACGAUCUCCCCGGGCAGGUGUGUGCUUUAGGUAACCAGUAAGCAAAGUAAUUAAUUUCAAUUAGCACACAAGUUCCCACAAUUCCCACUCACUUUACUUGUUCAAAAUCCAUUUAUUUGUGGUUUAGAGAUGAGUUAAAAAAACCUGACCUGUCUUAAAGUGUCCAGUCAUUAGGAAGCCAGGUGGCAGCUGAUCCUUCUUAGUUACAGAUGAUUGUCAGAAAAACACAAUAGCUGCCAAUAAUGCGAUUAUCAACAAUCAUUUUAAAGUGCAGUACAUAGCUUUGUGUAUUGGUCAGUCAUUGCUGGAGAAUAUUAUUACAUUUUUUAUCCCCUGAAAUAGGUACACCCAGCAGCAUGCAGUUUAUUCAGUAGAGCAUGUGGCUUUUCUGGCCAGUGCUGACUUCAUUCUGUAGCUGGCAUUGUUAAGACAGAAGAGGUUUUUUUAAGGCUUCUUUGUUAAGGUUUUAAUAUAAUUUGCAUUCCAACAGAGAAACCCACUUGGUUUGUUUAGACACCUGUCAAAAAGCUGACUUUUAAAAGGCAAGGGUAAUGAUAUUAGCAUAAUGUCAUUUGCAAAUGAGCCUGUGCUGCUAAUUUACAAUUAGACUUCAUCUCAGAUUUAAUUAAAAAGGGAGAUGCUGUCCGCCUGGUAAACUCGAUGUCAGAAAAGCACUUACUGGGUUUCAAUUCAAAAGCAUGGACACGCUUUCCUGUUGUGAACAAGGGUUUUACCAAUAUGCGAUUAGGACAUUCAUUUUAACAUCUUUAUCUGCCAAACUAAGAGACGUUAAAGAAUUCUCACAGGAGACCAAUAAUCUUGUCAAGAUAUGUGUUAUUAAAAUAUUUAAAGUUAGAACAAAUAACAUGUGCAAAAUACAUUUCUCACCGAUGUCUUUACAGUUGUUUCUUUGUUUCUGUUUUUAAUCACAUCCUAGAUGCUUAUUUGUAAAACGUUUGAGCUCUGCAAGGUCCAUAGCAUUAUUAUGCUGUUUAUUAAAGACCAUGACUUGUAUUUCAAUCCCCACAAGGGUUUUAUGAGCCAUCACCUUCAGCACCUGUGCAAUCGUCCCUGUUGAUAAUUGCUUUGUGAUGGACUAGUUGAGUCAAUUGGAUUUACUAACCAGAUGCAAUGAGUCUGAAGCUUGUGGGGGAACUGGCAGUGCUCUUUUGUAGAGAAAAUAUUGAACUGUGUUGGGCUCAAACGUUUUCGUUUCAAGGAUGUAACGGAAACAAAACAAGAAUUGGAAAACAAAUAAGAUGGUACGCAGGUGAGAGAAUUAUUGAACGUUGCACACCCAGUUUAUUCUACCUUUAAAAUAACUACCCUAAAGCACGGCCCGUCUCUCUGUUCUGAAGCCCUGAGUGUUUGUAUGAUGUGAACACAGGUAUGCAAGUCAAUUAUUUAUAAUUCAGAUUCAGAUGGUCUCUUUGGGGUACAUAACCACAUCCUGUGAUAUUGGCUCCAAGCCCAAAAGGAAGUGGUUUAAACAGCUGUUUAAAGUUUGAAUCUAUAACCCUUUCCCAGUGUGGAGUGCACUCAGUUCUGCUGUGUUAUAUAUUAGUAUUAAGUGUAAGUAUCGUUAGUUGAUACAAUCUUCUUCCGGGGAUUGUUGGUUGCUGUGCAGUGAACGCUUGCCCACAUGCUGAAACAGCUGUUUAACAGAAAUCUGGUUUUACGCCCAAAAUGAACGGAAAUGUAAUUCUGGAAUACUCCCCUGAUCCAGGGAUCCAGGGAUCCAGACAGAGAGUUUACUGCUCCACACAACUCUUCUACUUGUCCUGUUUUCUUUAUUAAUAUCAAAUUAGGAAAAGCGUGUUUUUUGGGGGGUUUUUGGAAUGUGCGUGUUUGUGGUGAGCGAGGCAUCAUAGAAAACCAUUAUUUCAAAUGUUGUAUUCCUGGUGCAGUAUUUGUCUUUCUUUUGUAAAAAUGAAAGAAGCUACAUGCUUACAGUGUACUGAGCAGAAUUACAGAACAACAACAGCUGCUUUCUGUUUCUUUCAAACUUGGGUUUCUAGCGCUAGUUGUUGCAAAUUUAAACAUUAUGCUAAAAAUGUUUUUUAAAAUGUAGAACCAGCAGCCCUCAUGUUGUAAAAUGGAUAUCUGAAGAAGCUUUACCCAGGCUGCUGUGUUGUCCUGUUCUCAGCUGGUUGAUGCAGUGAAGUAUGAGGGCUGCCUUUGUGUACUUCCCCUGGUAAACAUUGAAAUCAACGUGAAACUGCUCCAAAUCUCAGACCCAGUAUAUACCCUGACUGCCCGCAAAAGGAAGAGCUGUAUUUGUAAGUACAAUUGUAAAUAAAAUAUUUUCUACUUCUUUCAGUUAACGUAACACAAUAAAAUAUUGAGUGGUAAAACAUGUGUUGUGCUAUUGUGGAUUUUUCUCCCCCACCCCGCAGUUUGCUUGCAUUAGGUUUUGUGUUCCUCAAGCCACAGGGGAGCUUUGGAUGCUUGCUGUGACCUCCUGCUGACGCUGGCUUAGUUCAGAAGGCUCUGUCUGUUUCAUGAUUACCUCUUCAUGCUACGGGUGAUGUUAGUGCAUCGAAGGGACUGCCUGCAAACAAAGAGGAGCUUGGGAAAGGGGGUGUUUGAACUUGUGUCAGCAACAGCCAGGUGAGUGGCAAACAGAAAUGCGGUGAGCCGGCAGUGGCAUCUACUUUUAGACAAACUGCACAGCCAACUAGUUCUGGCUUAUAUUAAAAUGCAGCGCAUUUAACAGGCAGUGCUGUGUGAUGAACCCUAACCCUAACCUUUUUCUGAUACAAUUGUGUACUUACAUAUAUCAUGCGAAAAGAUGUACACAUUAAGUA